UUCCUGGUGGUCCAGUGGCUAGGACUCUAUGCUCCCAAUGAAGGAGACCCAGGUUUGAUCCCUGAUCAGGGAA
This 73-nucleotide transfer RNA is filed under the name Ovis aries (sheep). It matches the Rfam family "tRNA". Rfam says of the family: Transfer RNA (tRNA) molecules are approximately 80 nucleotides in length. Their secondary structure includes four short double-helical elements and three loops (D, anti-codon, and T loops). The record is from Rfam by way of RNAcentral. Lineage: Eukaryota; Metazoa; Chordata; Mammalia; Artiodactyla; Bovidae.